CAACCCUCAAGCCCUGCUUGGCGUUGGGGCACUACUCCCCCGUAGGCCCUCAAAACUAGUGGCGGACUCGCCGUGGCUCCUCUGCGUAGUAACCAAACCUCGCUCUGGGACCCGGCGGGAUUCUAGCCGUUAAACCCCCCAAUUUUUAAA
This 150-nucleotide unclassified non-coding RNA is filed under the name uncultured Sordariomycetes. RNAcentral describes it as "sequence contains ITS2". Lineage: Eukaryota; Fungi; Ascomycota; Sordariomycetes. The record is from RNAcentral.